UGUGACUGUGAGCAGGAGGCAGUCAGGGAACAUGAAGCAGUAGUGCCUGCACUGCUUAGCUGCACGCUUACAACGGAUUGUUGUCUGGAGCGAGAGGGCAGCAGGCCAUGCAUGAACACACAACCAGGCAAGGGGAGAUAAUGGUGCCCAGCUACUCUUAGGAACUAAAGAGAGUGUAGCUGUCUGUGUCCUCACUGGCAGAGAGCACAGAGUGUCUGUCUUUGCUAACACAGAGUAGUGGGACUUAUAUUUGAUCCUGUAUUAGGUUCAAGAGUUUUGUUCAUCUCAGCUCUUCUUGUCAAACAUGGGGUGCUCAUCAUCCAGUGCACAGACUGUUGAUCAAGAGAAAAGACCAGGUACAAAGCCGGAGGAGAGCAAUAAAGAUACAGCAGCAGUCACAAACGGCAUCAUCGCAGAAGAUGCACAAACCAUCGAGGACCAGAUGCAGCUGCCAGUGCAGACUGCCUUACCACAAGAUCUUCAACCAGGAACUGAUGAUGAGGCAGGGGAUGUGUUAGUGGCCAUAGAGGCCCAAGAAGACCUAGGCUCUGGGGAAGACCUUCUGACUGCGCCUGAACCUGCUGUCCCUGAAGAACCAGCUUCUGAAGCUCCUUCUACUGAACCUCCUUCUACUGAAGCUCCUUCUACUGAAGCUCCUUCUACUGAACCUCCUUCUACUGAACCUCCUUCUACUGAAGCUCCUUCUACUGAACCUGAGGCUCUUCUAGUCGGGGUGGAGGCAGUACCCCCUGUGGAGGAAGUUGCCCCCAUAGAAAAUGAGGUAAAAGCCCUUGUUGAAGCUACAGGAGAGGCAGUUGAUGUUGUAGCGGUGCAGGAAAUAGCCCCUGCUGUUAUCGAAGAGGUGCCUGCUGUGCCAGCUGAGGCCACCCCUGCCCUUGAAUCUAUCCUACCAGAGCCAGCAGAGGCUGCAGUGGUUGUGGAAGAGGCAGUAACCCUGAUCACUGAGGUCCCUGUAGAAGAAACUGUUCCUGUGGAGGCUCUGACUGACACUGUGGCACCAGAGGCUGCUUUAGUAGAACCAGCUCAAUCCAUGGAACCAGGGGAAACUUUAGCACCGGCAGCAAAUGAAAUUGCAGCACCAGGUGAAGCUGCAGUACCAAGUGAGAAUUUAGGGACAGCUGAAUCCUCAGCACCUGUAGAGUCUGCCCAGCCUGUUAUAGAUAGUGAAAUUGCUGCAGCAACCAUCCCAGAGAUGCUGCCAUUAACUCCAGUCACAGCUGAGGUCCAAGCUGAACCUCAGGCUGCUACUGAAGAGGCCUUGGACACUCCUGUGGCCCCUGCUGAGACUCCCCCACCAGCAGAGGCAUGCGCAGACGCCACCCCUGCACCGGCUCCAGAAGCUGAACCUGCUACUGCUGAGGCGGCCCAGGUGGUAGAGGCUCCAGGAUCCACAGUGGAGACCCCUGCAGAAGCCCCCCUAGCAAAUGUGGCCUCAGAGCCAGUGGUGGACGACACAGCCCCGACAGAGGUCACCCCAGCACACUCUGAAACACCCUCAGCACCAGCCCCUGCUGCUGAUCCAGCCCCCGAACCUUCACUGGAAGAAUCCUCCCAGGAGACUGAGGGCGAGAAAAGCAACAAGGAGGACUGAGUUGGUAAUCUGCAGGGAUACUGAAAACGUCUGAAGCUACAAACACAGGAUAUAGCAAGAAAACAUGACAUUUACAGUGUUGUCUCAUCAGCUUUGACCAAACCAAAUGACACCAGAUACAUUAAUAUUCAACGUGCCUUAAUAACUUGUUUUAUAGGAAAGAUCAGGAUUCUUCCUACUUUUGCAAAUAUAAAACCUUUAUGAUGAGUUUUUAAACUGAAAAC
Long non-coding RNA from Anabas testudineus (climbing perch), 1836 nucleotides. The record is from Ensembl. Lineage: Eukaryota; Metazoa; Chordata; Actinopteri; Anabantiformes; Anabantidae.